Molecule: long non-coding RNA, 627 nt
Filed under: Brassica rapa (field mustard)
Lineage: Eukaryota; Viridiplantae; Streptophyta; Magnoliopsida; Brassicales; Brassicaceae
Description: long non-coding RNA (BRAP_LNC005693)
Source: RNAcentral
GAGAAUAUUAUAAAUUAACAUUUUAGAAAGUUAACUAUUUUAACUAAUUAAAUAAAUUAAAAUAUAAUUUCUGGAUUUUUUUCGUAUCAUGGGAUGACAAAAAAUAAGUUUUGGGUUUUGGGGAUGGUCUUAGCCUAAAACAUUGAAAGCUAAGAUGAGCUAAGCCCGAAAGGUCCGAUUUUUUGAACUUAUAUAAUUAAGCCCAAUCCCGAUAAUUUAUAGAGUUGAACAGACUCGGCUGCGGGUUUUGGCCCUAAUUAACAUGUCUUCUUUUUUUUUUUUUUUUUUUUUUUUGUUCAAUGCCCUAAUUAACAUGUCUAAUCCAUCAUAUCAGUGGUCAAGUAUGUAAUGUUAAUAAUCUUUAUAGACAGAUGAUAUUAUUUAUCUCAGUUUCUGUCACAUGGUUUUAAGAGUUUGCCUUCUUAUAGUGAUUGCAAUCUGAUAAGGGUGAAAAGUGAAAACGCUAGGAACUCAACUGUGGUUUGGUAGAUAGUCUUUAAUAUUUCACGAGCCCUUUGAUUCUCAUUCUGGUCACCACACGUAGUUAUGAAUUUACUUGCAUGUUUGUACAAUAUAAACCGAUAAACUAAGGAAGAAUCAAGAUGAGAGGACCAUAUAAGAUCCAAG